UCAUCUCUCCACGCAGGCACGACCAGCGUUCCCCUCUUCUCCUCUCCUCUCUUCUCGUCUCAUCUGAGUAUCUGACGCGGCGGAUUCCGUCUUAGGUCUUGAUUCUAGCUGUGAGUAAUACUAGUCGAACACAAUCUGAUUGUAGCUGUGAGUAAUACUAGUUGAAUAGACAUGAAGCGUUUGCAUUCAGGCAAACUAUUUUGUGAGGAAGUCUGAAAAUUACACAAUGCUUCUGGAGUGAAAAACUUCCGUCUGCGACCAGUAUAGUGCACGGAGUGAAAAAAUCCACAAAAUUAAAUCAUGUUUGUGGGUAAUCCUAGUCCUAUUCCUUCCUGAACAGACUUGAUGUUUUGCACUCGGAGGUUACAAAUUAGAAUGUGAUGUUGCAAUUUUGUUGUCUGAAAAAGUCUGAACCACAUGCAUUGUUUCUCUAGCGAAUAAACUGUGCCUGUCGCCAGUAUACUACAGAGAGUAAGCGUCGAGCUUUGUUUUGUGUGCGUGUGUGUGUAUGUGUGUGCACGGGAGGCUGAUGGUGCUGCCCAUGGGUAUGGCUAACUACUAAGUAUUCAUUAACCAUGUUACAUGGUAGGGGGAUACGGGUACGGGGAUACGGAUACGGCGAUACAGGAAAACAGCACUUUCUGAAAAUAGACUUACGGGGAUACGGCGAGUAUAUGUAUAAAUGCAUAAAAAAAUCAACACCAAAAACAUUUUUUUAGAGGAUGAGGAAAUUGACAUUUAUGAAGUAACCUGAUUAGUGAUCUGAAGUUGCUGCCUUUCCAUGUCCCAACCCCUUGACUGCCUGAUGCAGUCCUUGUGUUCCUCAGAAUCAUGGUACGGGGAUUGGUAUACUGGUUCUCCUCGGAAUCAUGGGGGGCGUUACGUUACUACCAUACCUUCUCCCCUAAAUCCUAAUCCAUAGCAUGCUUAAAAACAGAGAUCUUGAAGUAAUGGAUUGAAGCUUACUUAUGUACAGUACAGAUUCCGGAUGGGGAAGACUUGGAGAAGGAGAACGAGCUGUGCUUUGAGGUGCCGCCGGUGGCGCCGUAAGGGAGUCUGGAGAUGAGCUGAAACUAACCCUCGAUCGUGAUUUGGCAACUGCAAGAUGACGGCAAGAGGAAGGAUUCCAGUGAUUAGGUCUAUCUAUCCAUCGACAAGGCCUUCUGAUGGGCUGCAGAUCGAGUAUCGAGUGUUUAACAGGCCCUUACGUAUCCCUGAUGUAUCCCUGCGUGUCCCAGCCGUAUUCUGAAUUUUUUUUGCUUUAUUUUAAUUCGAAAAAAUGUGAUACGGAGGGAUACACGUAUCCCACGUGUAUCCCCAUACUGGUGCAGUAUCCUGCACCGCUACGGCACUUUUGUGCCGUAUCCCUGCAACGUAGUUCAUUAAGGUGAUAUGGUAAAGAUAGCUUACAUCACAAGAUCUAAGCAGUGCACCGUACUUGCAUGUUGUGUCCAAUAAUAUAGUAGGUUAGCAUAUAUGUUUUAUCUACCACUGAUAUAAAUCUCUUUUGCUGAAGAUAAUCACGCCAUGCAAUCCUGGGCACUUCUAUCAAAAUUCAGCCAUUCAUGUAAACGGAAAGAGAGAAACGUGAUGUCUUUCCCCAAAAUAGUAGUAUUAUAUGAAGAGAAGCAUAAGUGCAUAACUGACAAUGUACAAUGGUUUGCUAACUACUAUGAUGAGUUGUUUGGAGCGCUGCAUCAUCUCCUGAACAUUAUAAUUCUGUUAAUUCAGUAUGUACAGAAGGCAAGAGCUUCAGAGAUGUGGUCAACUGAUCACCCCCCUGCGUUCCCCUGUCUGACAGGUCGCUGUGGACGACGAUGCUAAUUUUUGGGGACACAAACAUCAGGAAGGACGACAUGAGGCUGCGUAUCUUCUCAGGAACGGCCAAUUCUUCGCUAGCCCAGGUCGGUUCGAUGUUCCUUGAAAUGGAAUACAUCAAGCAGCAAGCUACUUGUUAUAAAUCCUUCCAUGUCAAACUGAAUGAUUUGUCACUCAAUGCCACUCUAAGCUGUAUUUGUUUUUCUCUUGGUGUCUUGUGACAGGAAAUAGAAAGCUACAUGGGUCUAGAACUUGGGGAGAUUAACAUAAAAAGGUUUGGUGAUGGUGUCAUGACCUCCAGCCUCGUGGAGCUACUCAUCAUGAUUGAUGCGUGUAGAAGAGCAUCUGCUAAAAACAUUCACAUAUGCGGAAAGAGGUCAAAAUAAAAUCACCCCCAUAUGUGAAUGUUUUUUAAUAUUCAUAUGAAUGUGGAGAAUUGAAAGUCAAUGCUGAACAGUGCAGCAUAUUCUAUUACCAUGAGGAGCAUGUUGUUAUGGCAGGAUAAUGCAUGAUCAGAAAAUCAGUCUUCCUAUAGAUUUCUGGCAUGUCAUCCUAAUAUUUACAGAAAAAAUCAUCACCAAAUCUAACAUAAGUUUUUUUUUACUUCGCUGCUUUUUCAGUCUCAAGGUCGUGAAUCUAUAGUUGCAAAACUUGUAGCUAAUAUGAUUACAGAAGCUGGUGCAAACCAUGUCCUUGUUUGUGAUCUUCAUUCAAGUCAGGCCACGGGAUAUUUUGACAUCCCAGUAGAUCAUGUUUAUGGCCAGGUACUUACUGAUACACGUUGCUUCAGUUGAUCAAGUACUUCAAAACUGGCAUGUGAUAUCUAUCAUUUAUAACUGUUUCUGUCUUUGCCUCAUUAAUCUGUCAAGCCGGUGAUUCUUGAUUACAUCACCAGCAAGACAAUUUGUUCGAAUGACUUGGUGGUGGUAUCGUCUGAUGUUGGAGGCAUUGCCAGAGCAUGCACAUUUGCCAAAAAGCAGAUGCACCUCUAAUAAUUGUAGACAAAAGAAGGCAUGGACACAACGUUGCCGAGGCAAGUAGUAUAUUCUUCAGUUUUUUAGUAUAGCUGGAUGAAUGUGGAUGAGUGGAAGAGCGACUUAACUUGUUUUACAUUCUUGUCCACCAUUGGGUAUAUGAGCAGCUAACUAGGAUGCAUAGUAAGAAAAUACUCAUUGAGGCUCUUUUGUAGUUGGUUAGGUUUAUCCACUGCUCUGCUGGAAAUGUAUAUUGCAUAUGGAGAUGUGCAUUUUCACAUGGUGCAUGCAGUUUUAUUUUUCCAUGCUUUUAUGUGAUCAGUUCUGUCAGAUUAAACAAGCACAACUUGUCAUGUGCAUUUAUUGCAGGUAAUGAAUCUGAUUGGAGAUGUUAAGAGGAAAAGUGUCUGCUAUGAUGGAUGAUAUGAUUGAUAUAGCAGGUAAGUUAUCCCAUUUAAGUUAUAGGAAAACAUAAUUCUAAGAUUGACCAUCUCACAGAGGGGCAGUUGAGCCAUGAUUUAAUACAAUGAUUAAACACAGAAACUAAAUAUUACAUAGUUAGUUAAUUCUAUUUAGUAAGGCGUGGAUACAAGUCAUGUGACUUGCAAUAUAGUUUAAACAUGGAAACAUGUUGAAGUGUUCCACAUUCAUGUUUGACAACUGAGAAAGUAAAUUACAACAUCUUGUUGCAUACCAAAAGUAGCUACCUUUUGACGAUCUUUGUUUCUGAAUAUGAAUAUCCUAAUAGGACUAUCACAAUUAAAUUAGGAACUAUAGCCAAAGGAGAUGAGCUGCGGCAUCAAGAAGGAGCAAGAUAAGUCUAUGCAUGGUGUACACAUGUUGUUUAGGUACACUGUUUUUAUGCCCAUUCCAUAAUUUGUCCAGUACUAGGAAGUAUGCUAGAUUAACUACUGAACCUGCUUUGCUAUGGGAAAGGCCCAUCAGCGCACUAUAUGUGUAGUUAUAGACUUGUUCCAUGGAGCUGAGAGUUUGAUGGAACCAGAGUCUACACCAAUUCGUGGAAGCAAUUUAGAGAGUGCGACUGUGCUGGUAUAGUCAAACAUUGUAUGUCGAAUCUAAACUACAAAUCUGGAUGGAUACAUUAAGAGUGUGUUUGGUUCCGGUCACGGGAUGGAACGAGACGGAACCGUCCCGCACCUCGAGCUGAUUCUUGCGUUCGGUUCACGAGUGGAACCAGAACCUGUCGAUUCCCCCGAGCGGAAUAUUCGCCCAAGAUGCGGAAUGUGCUCGUACCUCCGAUUCGAAGGAAUUACCCCGUUCCUCGUCUCGCUCUCAUCUCCCCGACUCACUCGCAAUCUACGCAGCCUCUUCCUCGUCUUUCUCUCAUCUAUGGCGAGCGCGUGGCUACGGCCUGGAAGACGGGCGGCGGCGGCCAGUGCUCAGGUCGGGUGACACCGGCGGGAAGGCAGCAGCCGAAGAAACGGGCUACGGCGGCCGACGGGAAGGCGACAUCAGGAGAGGCGGGCGACGGUGGCCGGGGCGGGCGUCACCCGUGGCUGGAGAAACUGCUCGAUCUGGUCUUGGCGAAGGCGAGGAUGCGGAGCAGCGUCUAACUCCGCUCGAUUUGGUUGUCCUCUUCCCAUCGCACGCCUUCUCCACGGAAGCAACGGUGUGAUUUCUUGGCUGCGUGGCAGCCAGCAACAAUCAUCGGCGACCCAUAUGGCCUUAAUUCGCUGUUCAUUGCAAGUCUCCUCUUUAUGGUUAACUGCAAGUCAGAAUACUAACAGUAGUUUUAUGUCCGAAAAGAUUGGAAAUUCAACAGAUAGGUUUUGGUUAAAUCUGUAAAACGCAACUUUUCUCUUUCUGGUUAACUUCAAAUUAGAAUAUUAACAAUAGCUUUAUGUUUAAAAAGAUUACAGGGAAUCUCUUCACCAAAUUAAAUUCAUUCCAUUUCAUCUCUUCAGCCAAACACCAAAACAGAACCGUUCCAUUACACAUAAUUGCCUCUACCAAACACAGAAACGGAACCGACCCAUUCUACUGGAAUGGAAUGGAAUGGAACCAUGCCAUUCCAUUCCACUUCGUUCCCGAACCAAACACACCCUAACUGAGCAAAACAGCAGGGAAAAAGAAUUCAGUGGUGACAAUUACCAAAUCGUUGAUGCUAUGCAAAAUUUGGUUUAAACUCAUUUGUGGCAUUAGAUUCGCGUCAUGGAAAUGUGAACCCAAAGUGCAAACCUUCAAUAGAGAUUGGAAUAAUUAUGCUGCCUUGCUGCAAUUUUUGUUCAUUAGAAAAGGCUGAGAUGCAAUCAUUGAACUCGAAUUUGAGUCAUAUGUUUUAUUUUGUUAUUUCGUGUUAACAUGUUUAGCUCUGAUUUCUUACAAGUAUGUUUCACAUCCCCUUUUUAGCCCACCAUCCAUUGAGAGAUUAUCAAGUGGUUUGUGUCAAGAAGUAAACAUCACAAACAUUGUCCCUUCGAAGAAGCAUUGAAGACUUUGUUGAGCGAGGCAAGCAACCUACUUUGAUCAUGUUGAACCCAUAUUUGCAUUACACACUUAAAAUUAUUUUGCAUGCAUAAAGUAUUGUUUACUAGUAUUGCUAUGCUAAGUAAAUUAGCUAUGGUUUAGCUAUGCUCUAUGUGCUUGAUAUUGACAACCCCUUUGACAUUCUUAAUACCCCUCCUUUCUAACCGGAGGACUACAUACCCCCUAGUCACAAAUAAAUGUGGGUCAUAGAUGCAAGUUAAGUAGUGCUUAGCCAUGCAAGUCAUAUAAAUCCUAGGACUUGGGGGAAGAAUCUUAGCACAUUACCCCAAUAUGGGACGGGGCUGAGGAGAUAAUCAGAUAUGUUUGGUGGAUUAUGAGAUUUUUGGUCUAGUAUGAGCAUGGCUAUAUUAUAUUGGUUGAUAAACAUUAUCUUUUAUUAAUCUUGGAACAAUUUGGAUUUAGUAAGGUGAUUGUCAUCUUGAAGCAAAUUUGACGAUGGAUUAUGAGUUUUUUGUGGAUCUACUUAGGUGAUUGUGAUCUUGAGGAGAUAGUUAGUUUUGUUUGGUGGAUUAUGAGAUUUUUGGUCUAGUAUCAGCAUGGCUAUAUUAUAUUGGUUGAUAAACAUAUCUUCUGUUAAUUGGAUUUAGUUAGGUGAUUGUCGUCUUGACGCAAAUUUGACAAGGGAUUAUGAGUUUUUGGUGGAUCUACUUAGGUGAUUGUGAUCUUGAGGAGAUAGUCAAAGAUGUUCGGUGAAUUAUGAGAUUUUAGGUCUAGUAUGAGCAUGACUAUUAUAUUCGUGGAUAAACAUAUUUUCAAUUAAUCUUGGAAUAAUUUGGAUUUAGUUAUGUGAUUCUGAUCUUGAAGAAAAUUUGAUGAUGGACUAUGAGUUUUUGAUGAAUUUAAUUAGGUGAUUGUGAUCAUGAAGAGAUAGUAAAAAAUGUUCGGUGGAUUGUGAGAUUUUAGGUCUAGUAGUGAGAAUGGUAAUUGUUAUAUAGGUUGAUAAACAGAUUUUUAUUUUGGAACACUUUGGAUUUAGUUAGGCGAUUGUGAUUUUUAAAUCAAAUUCCAUGAUGGAUUAUGAUAUCUUAGCCUGGAUUUAGUUAGGUCAUUGUCAUCUUGAGAAGAAAGUCAAAGAUGUUCCAUGGAUUAUGAGUUUUUAGAUAUAGUAUGACGAUGUCUACUAUUAUAUGAAUAAUUAAACAUAUAUUCAGUUAAUCUUGAAACAAUUUGGAUUUAGUUAGGUGAUUGUCAUGUUGAAUCAAAUUUGACAAUGGAUUAUGAGAUUUUGGUGGAUCUACUUAGGUGAUUUUGAUCUUGAGGAGAUAGUCAAAGAUGUUCGGUGGAGUAUUAAAUUUUGGAUCUAGUAUGAGCAUGACUACUAUUAUAUUGGAGGCUAAACAUAUUUUCAAUUAAUCUUGAAAUAAUUUGGAUUUAGUUAGGUGAUUAUGAUCUUGAAGAAAUUUGCUGGUGGACUUAGUUAGGUGAUUCUGAUCCCGAGGAGAUAGUUAGAUAUGUUUGGUGGAUUAUAUGAUUUUUGGUCUAGUAUGAGCAUGGCUAUAUUAUAUUGGUUGAUAAACAUAUCUUCUGUUAAUCUUGGAACAAUUUGGAUUUAGUUAGGUGAUCAUCUUUAAGCAAAUUUGAUGAUGGAUUAUGAGUUUUUGGUGGAUUUAAUUAGUUGAUUGUGAUCUUGAGGAGAUAGUCAAAUAUGUUCGGUGGAUUAUGAGAUUUUAGGUCUAUUAUGAGCAUGACUGCUAUUAUAUUGGUGGAUAAACAUAUUUGCAAUUAAUCUUGGAAUAAUUUGGCUUUGGUUAUGCGAUUUUGAUCUUGAAGCAAAUUUGACGAUGGAUUAUGAGUUUUUGAUGGAUUUAAUUAGGUGAUCGUGAUGUUGAAGAGAUAGUUAAAAAUGUUCGGUGGAUUAUAAGAUUUUAGGUCUAGUACAUGAGAAUGGUGAUUUUUAUAUUGGUGGAUAAACAGAUCUUCAAUUAAUGUUGGGAGACUUUGGAUUUGGUUAGGCAAUUGUGAUUUUAAACCAAAUUUCACGAUGGAUAUGAUAUCUUAGCCUGGUUUUAGUUAGGUCAUUGUCAUCUUGAGAAGAUAAUUAGAGAUGUUUCAUGGGUUAUGAGAUUUUAGAUAUAGUAUGAUCGUUUCUACUAUUAUAUGAUUGUAUGAAUAAUUAAACAUAUCUUCAGUUAAUCUUGGAACAAUUUGGAUUUAGUUAGGUGAUUGUCAUCUUGAAGCAAAUUUGAUGAUGGAUUAUGAGUUUUUGGUGGAUCUACUUAGGUGAUUUUGAUCUUGAGGAGAUAGUCAAAGAUGUUCGGUGGAUUAUAAUUUUUUUGGGUCUAGUUUGAGCGUGACUACUAUAAUAUUGGUGGAUGAACAUAUUUUCAAUUAAUCUUGAAAUAAUUUGGACUUAGUUAGGUGAUUGUGAUCUUAAAGCAAAUUUGCCGAUGGAUUUAGUUAGGUGAUUGUGAUCUUGAGGAGAGUCAAAUAUGUUUGGUGGAUUAUGAGAUUUUUGGUCUAGUAUAAGCAUGGCUAUAUUAUAUUGGUUGAUAAACAUUAUCUUCUGUUAAUUUUGGAACAAUUUGGAUUUAGUUAUGUGAUUGUCAUCUUGAAGCAAAUUUGAUUAUGAGCUUUUGGUGGAUCUACUUAGGUGAUUGUGAUCUUGAGGAGAUAGUCAAAGAUUUUCGGUGGAUUAUGAGAUCUUAGGUCUAGUAUGAGCAUCACUACUAUUAUAUCGAUGGAUAAACAUAUUUUUACUUAAUCUUGGAAUAAUUUGGAUUUAGUUAUGUGAUUUUGAUCUUGAGGCAAAUUUGAUGAUUGAUUAUGAAUUUUCGAUGGAUUUAAUUAGGUGACUGUGUUCUUGAAGAGAUAGUUAAAAAUGUUCGUUGGAUUAUGAGAUUUUAGGUCUAGAACAUGAGAAUGGUGAUUAUUAUAUUGGUGUAUAAACAUAUCUUCAAUUAAUCUUGAAACACUUUGAAUUUAGUUAGGCGAUUGUGAUUUUUAAACCAAAUUUCACGAUGGAUUAUGAUAUCUUAGCCUGGAUUUAGUCAUGUUAUUGUCAUCUUGAGAAAUUAGUUAAAGGUGUUCCACGGAUUAGUAUGACCAUGUCUACUAUUGUAUGAAUAAUUAACCAUAUCUUCAAUUAAUCUUGGAACAAUUUGGAUUUAGUUAGGUGAUUGUCAUCUUGAAGCAAAUUUGACGAUGGAUUAUGAGUUUUUGGUGGAUCUACUUAGCCUAUUUUGAUCUUGAGAAGAUAGUCAAAUAUGUUUGGUGGAUUAUCAAAUUUUGUGUAUAGUAUGAGCAUUACUAUUAUAUUGGUGGAUAAACAUAUUUUCAAUUAAUCUUGAAAUAAUUUGGAUUUAGUUAGGUGAUUGUGAUCUUGAAGCAAAUUUGUCGGGGGAUAGUUAGGUGAUUGUGGUUUUGAGGAGAUAGUCAAAUAUGUUUGGUGGAUUAUAAUAUUUUUGGUCUAGUAUGAGCAUGGCUAUGUUAUAUUAGUUGAUAAACAUAUCUUCUGUUAAUCUUGAAACAAUUUGAAUUUAGUUAGGUGAUUUUUAUCUUGAAACAAAUUUGACGAUGGUUGAUGAGCUAUUGGUGGAUUUAGUUAGGUCACUGUAAUUUUGAUGAGAUAGUCCAAGAUGUUUGAUGGAUUAUGAGAUUUUAGGGUUAGUAUGAGCAUGACUAUUAUUAUGUUGGUGGAUAAACUUAUCAUCAAUUAAUCUUGGAACAACUUGAAUUUAGUUAGGUGAUUAUUAUCAUCUUGAAGCAAAUUUGACGAUGGUUUAUCAGUUUUUAGUGGAUUUAGUUAGGUCAUUAUGGUUUUGAGAAGCAAAGAUUUUUGGUGGAUUAUGAGUAUUUGUGGGAUUUAGUUCGGUGAUUGUGAUCUUCAGGAGAUAGUUAGAAAUGUUCGGUGGAUUAUGAGAUUUCAAGUCUAGUAUGAGCAUGGCUAUAUUAUAUUGGUUGAUAAACAUAUCUUCCAUUAAUCUUGUAUCAAUUUGGAUUUAGUUAGGUGAUUGUGAUCUUGAAGCAAAUUUGCUGGUGGAUUUAGUUAGGUGAUUGUGAUCUUGAGGAGAUAAUCAAAUAUGUUUGGUGGAUUAUGAGAUUUUUGGUCUAGCAUGAGCAUGGCUACUAUUAUGUUGGUGGAUAAACAUAUCUUUAAUUAAUCUUGAAAGAACUUCGAUUUAGUUAGGUGAUUAUCAUCUUGAAACAAAUUUUACGAUGGUUUAUGUGUUUUUAGUGGAUUUAGUUAGGUCACUAUGAUUUUGAUGAGAUAGACGGAAGUGGGCAGUGACCAUUAACGGACAAGCCCUCUCAAGAAGGCGACGAUGCUUGCGCUUAGCAACGCCAUUCUGAGCAUGUGCACCUGGAUAAGAGAACUGGAUGCAAGAGUACCCUGCUCAGCAAGGAUUCCAGGCAACAGCUUGGGAGAUAUACUCUCUACCAUAGUCAUCGCAAAACGCUUAUAUAUAAGACCUCACUACGGGAAGAAAUAAAGUAUAUCCAGGUGUGUCGAGAGAAGUCACUAGUGGUGACCUCCUUUCGAGGCAAAGGGAGAUGGACCCCCGUCAUCAGAGUGAACAAGGUCGAAAGGACGCUGAGACACUGUCUCGCUAUGAGUAUAAGGUAAUUGGACAUGUUUACAUAGCAGACAACCUUGACGGUUUAGAUACAUCGUCGGAGACGGAUCCAAGAAGACCACGUCAAACUAAGGAUGAGAGAUCACAAGUGACCCAAGGCGAGGAUGCCACUGCUGAAAAUAAUUGGUAGACAAGGCAAGAGAGGCAGAGACUAACGACGGUGGCAGUAGAGGGACUUGAUCCAGCAUCCCACGUGCUUGUGCACUCUUCGUACCCUACCGAUUUGGAUUGGUGUUCUUCUCCUGUUUGCAGGUUGUGGGUCACGCACUUGAUUAAGCACCCCAGGUUCUACUACUGUGCGCCCUUGACCCCGGCUUAGGUAGCGCCUUGUCCUCGGCUCGUACCGUGCGUAAUCCAGGUACGCGUCGACUGUCUGAGCUCCUGCUCACCAUUGGUGGUGCUCGAGCGUGCGGUUAUGAUGUCGCACAACAAGGGAACACGGGAUGUGGGAUUGAGACAGCACCCAUAGCAACCAGCAGCAAGGCAAAGGAUGCCCAUUCAGACUGGCAGGGAACGAAGGUGGACACAAAGGUGGAUGUUGACUUCAUAGGAGUCUCAAUAGUGCGCUCAUCAGUAAGAGCAGCACGACCAAGAAGAUCUCAAGGAAGUAGCAAAUAGGACCAAGAUCAUACAUAAGAAAUACACUAUGACGAGCCUUCAUAAAGGCAAUGUACUUAGAGUCAUCGCCAGUGAGGAUCGCCAUGUAGAAGUGUUCGACCACAAGUUGAAUGGUGGAUCGAAAGUGCAGGAAAUAAAGAAGCCAUUAGAGGUAGAAGAAACCUUAGUUUUAAGGAAGUAGCGAAGAGGACCAAGAUCAUACAUAAGAAAUUCACUAUGACGAGCCUUCACAAAGGCAAUGUACUUCGAGUGGUCGCCAGUGAUGAUCGACAUGUAGAAGUGUUCGACCACAAGUUGAAUGGUGGACCGAAAAUGCAGGAUAAUGAGCACUCGCCAAAAACCAGCCGCAAUCACCAUUGAGGCGACGCGCUCAUAUCAAACACGAGGGGUUUGCUUAGGGCCAUAUAGAGAGUGACGAAGACGACAAACCAUGCCAUCAGGAAGAGAACCUAGGUGGUGGCUACAUGUAGGCAUUCUUGACAUCAAGAGAGACAAACCAACGGCGAAUAGAAGCCACAUUGAGAAGUGUGCGAAGAGUGGUCAUGUGGGCUAUAUAGGAGCAAAUGUCUCAUAGUAGUCAUGACCAUGUUCUCACCACUAGACAAGCUUUGAAACGCUCAAGAGAAUCACCAGUCUUAACCUUGUAGACCCACUUACAAGUUAUGAGACGAGCACGAGGAGGAGGCAAAUUAAAUUGUUCAUCUUAUGAGCAUGCCUACUAUUAUGCUGGUGGAUAAAAAUAUCUUUAAUUAAUAUUGAAAUAACUUCAAUUUAGUUAGGUGAUUAUCAUCUUGAAACAAAUUUGACGAUGGUUUAUGAGUUUUUAGUGGAUUUAGUUAGGUCACUGUGAUUUUGAGGAGAUUGUCAAAGAUGUUCGGUGGAUUAUGAGAUUUUAGGGUAAGUAUGAGCAUGACUUCUAUUAUGUUGGUGUAUAAACACAUCUUCAAUUAAUCUUGGACAACUUGGAUUUAGUUAGGUGAUUAUCAUCUUGAAGCAAAUUUGACGAUGGUGUAUGAUUUUUUAGUGAAUUUAGUUAGGUCAUUGUGUUUUUGAGAAGAUAGUCAAAGAUGUUCGAUGGAUUAUGAGUGUUUGGUGGAUUUAGUUUGUAGAUUGUGAUCUUGAGGAGAUAGUUAAAGAUUUUCGACGGAUUAUGAGAUUUUAAGUCUAGUAUGAGCAUGACCUAAUUUAUAUUGGUGGAUAUACAUAUCUUUCGUUAAUCUUGAAAUAAUUUGGAUACAGUUAGGUGAUUGUCAUCUUGAAGCAAAUUUGAGGAUGGAUUAUGAGUUUUUGGUGGAUCUCGUUAAGUGAUUGUGAUUUUGAGGAGAUAGUCAAAGAUGUUCGGUGGAUUAUGAGAUUUUAGGUCUAGUAUGAGCAUGAGUACUAUUAUAUUGGUCGAUAAACAUAUUUUUAGUUAAUGUUGAAAUAAUUUGGAUUUAGUUAAUUGAUUUUGAUCUUGAAGCAAAUUUGAUGAUGGAUUUAAUUAGGUGAUUCUGAUCUUGAGGAAAUAGUCAAAAAUGUUUGGUGGAUUAUGAGAUUUGAUCAUUUUAUGGGUGGAUAAACAUAUUUUUAAUUAUUUUUUGAGCAAUUUUGACUUAGUUAGGUGGUUAUGAUCUUGAACCCAAUUUCACAAUGUAUUAUGAGAUUUUUGCUGGAUUUAGUUAGGUAAUUGUGGUCUUGAGAAGAUAGUCAAAAAUGUUUGGUGGAUUAUGACAUUUUAGAUUACACCUAGUUUCAAUGGAUAUGCUGGUGACCUUCGGCAUCGACGUCGCCUCUGGCUUAUGCUAGCGUCCCGGCAGCGAGAUAAUGAGCACUUCAAAGCCCUGGCAAAUCACCGUCUUUGCGGAAGGGCAUACUUCGGAACCACUGAAUCUCACGUUGUUUAGGCCUACACCUCCUGAACAGAAUCCGUAGCGAUCAUAGAGUGAAGAGCCUACUUUUAAGUUCUACACGGCUGGUUUCGAAUGCGCAGAGGGCUUGGAGUAUCACAACAGAUUCUUGUACAUUCUUACUAAGAUACGAUUAACAUGAGAGAUAAAACAACUCUGAAUCUGAAGAGCAAUGGAAGUCGAAUCAGCAACUAGCUGCGGCAUGUAGCUUGUUCAGCACCAUCAGACAAUCUGAAGCCUGAAUCAUCACUCGCUAGUAGCCUUCUGGCAGAGCAAAGUGAAGAGUCAGAGGGCAUCAAGCAAAACAAGGCCCGUAGUAUAUAUUGCAGCAUCCUAGUGAGGCAUGAUGCUGCUGGAAGGCAAAUAUCCACUGCAAGGUUCCGUAUUGAGAACACGAUACAAUGUUAUGUGAAUUCCAAGGCUGAUUGGUGGACAAAUGUCGUGAGCGUAUCCGGCGUGAUGCUACAGUUGACAAGACUGUCUGCCGCCAAAAUCUUUCUUGGAUAACUCAUUUGUGGCUGAAGGCAGAACAUGAGUGGCAACACAAUUACUUGAAAGAUGGGCCGUGUGUGACACCUGAAGAAGCAGUUGCUAUUUAUCCAACUAUUUCCCAUGCACAUCUAUGGCACAAGGUCCAUGAAAGUGUUGCUAUGGAUCUUUGCCAAGUUCUGGGUCAGGAGUUGGAUGCGCUGGAGAUUGAGAUAGUACAGAAGGGGACAAUACAUCCAAGGAAGAGUUGCAAGAUGAACAGUUCAUGUGCAGAUGUCCUUUUUGCUGCACAUAGGUGGCAGAUGUCCAAACCAAGCUUAGUUUCUGAGUUAAAGGAUGUCUUCGAUCAGAAAGCCAGUAACAAGCACUGGAUUGAUGUGCAACCAAGAUGGGGAGACUAUGAUUCGCAUGACAUAGAACAUUACGCAAGAGCAAAAUUUAUGGACUACAUGACAGAUAAUUUGUCCAUCUACCGUACUCCGACUGGUAUGAUUUUGAGUGUCCAUUGACUGUCAAUUUCUUGCCUUGUCUGAGUCUUCAGUGCUUAAUGUUGAUUAAUAUUUCUUGCAUGGGUGAUGAUUGGACUUGAUCUAGCUUAUAAUUUGCACUCUGCUUUUGGUAAUUGGUUCCCUGGGUCAAAGCCCCUCCUUCAGCAAGCAAUGAACAAGAUCAUGAAGGUAAUAACCAUGCUAACUGUAACAAAUCUAGAUAUCUCUGUUGUAAUAAAAAAUGUCUUAUUUAAUGUAGUAAAUGACAUGCUUGUUUAUUUUCUCUUUUGACAGUCAAAUCCUGCUCUGUAUGUGCUGAGGGAGAGAAUAGGAAAGGGUCUUCAGUUGUAUUCAUCUGAACCCACUGCCCACCGAGCCAUAUGUGUCUUCAUAGAACUACGGUACUGAGAGAUAUUCAGCAAUCAAAUCAUAUGGUUUGUGGAUGACACAAAUGUCUAUCGAGUUACCAUUCACAAAAUCGAGGGUAACCUGACGGCCAAACCAAUCAAUGGUGCUAUCUUUAUUUUCAGUCCAAGAACUGGUCAACCAACUAUUUCUGAAGGUUUGUUCCCUUUGUUUUGCUUUUAGCUCUAGUUUUCUCGCAAUUAUGGCAUAACUACGCAGCAUCACAACUUGGACAACUUGAAUGAAAAUGGAUUAUAAUCUGCAGGUCAUCCACACAAGUGUAUGGGCAGGACAAAAGCGUCUAGGGCAGCUGGCCAAGUGGAGAACAGCCGAGGAGGUUGCUGCACUAGUUCGAUCUUUUCCCGUUGAGAGCAACCAAAGCAAAUUAUUGUGACAAGGAAGGGUAUGAGCAAGCAACAUUUGCAUCGAAGACAGAUUUGCGUGUCAGGGCCAUCUCUGCUAUGAACCCUUAUCUUCGUGUCAACCGCAUUUAUGUUAACUCGGAUGAUAAAAAGGUCAGAGGCACAAUUUAUUUUCUUCGAUUUACCCAUAAAGUCGCCAAAUGGCUACAGGAGACUGGUUAUACUUACAUCAUGACAAAGAAUAUAUUGAAGAAGUUGAUAUGCAUAGCAGAUCUACGGACACAGGUUGCAGGUUUCCUGUAUGGGCUGAGUCCACAGGAUAAUCCCCAAGUCAGGGAGAUGAGAUGCAUAUCCAUUCCGCCACAACAUGGAAGUCACCAAUGGUGACUUUGCCAGCGAAUAUCCCAGGGCAUGAGUUCCUUGCUGACUUGGAGCCGUUGGGACCUAGUCGAAUGGAGCUCCUCAGCUAUCACCUCAAGUUUGUCUCCUACCAUUUGUAUCUUCAAAUGUAACCUUGUGAUUCUUAUCCAAAAUCAAAAUUACAUACUCCCUCCGAUCCAUAUUAAUUGUCGCUGAUUUAGUCCAAAUGUCCAAGGAGUAGCUGAAUUGGAGUGCACAAUUCUAUAAUUCCUGAUCAAGCAGAUUUAUCUCUUUCCAUGAGUGGCUAAUUGUCUCUCCUUGGACAUUUGAAUUCUGAAUGUGAAUAUUAAAAUCAUCUUAUACAAAAUUUAAUCUUUCCAACUCACACUGCACUGUACAUACAAAUUUAUUAUUGUUGAUUCUUUUGUUUCUUGCACAUUUUACAAGUGACUUUUUUUUCCUGGGAUAGUUUCAGUGCCGAAUUAUUCGUUCUGUUGUUUUUGGCACAUUCUGGUAGUAUAGUCCAUUUUUGCCUGUGAACCAGUGUCUCCACUGAACUGUAUUCUGUAGUUUCUUUCUUCACAUUCUGUUGUUUCUUUCUUGCACAUAGAGUCUCAUAUACUGAACUGUUCGUUCUGUUGUUCCUUGCAGGAUUUGGCAUGACAUGCUAAAAUUUUGGAGAAGAACGAGGCGUGGCAUGGUGAAAAGGGCAUCAUUUUGACCUGCCCGUGAACAUCUUGGGUCAGUGGUUAUGCUUGCGAGAAGAAAAAACCUAUCAGGGUCAGUGGUCAUCACUUGUCAAACUGAAUCGUUAUCGUCAAGUGGAUGUUUUUCUUGGUGUUAUCAUCCUUUUACUCGUUGAUACUUUGUGAUUUGAGCUUCUUUAUUGAAGCUUAAUGUGUUAUGUCCGUCUGGUUGCUCUUCUUAAAAUUGGAGCACUUGCAGAUUUCUGUUGCUAGGUUAAGUUUACUUUGUCGGUCAGUGUUUGGUUAUAUAUGUUUCAGUCAGUCAGUUUUAUGCCUGAGAGCAAAUCAGUUGUUCUGGACCUGAUCAAACCUCAGCUAUUGCUUGAGCCAGUUCUGGGAUGGUGACCCCUUGAAGAGUCUGGUCAAAGCAAGCCAGUACUGCAGCAUCAACAUUACUACUGUAACCAUCUUGGCACUGACGAUGGCUUUGCUGUUCCGAGCCUCGUUGCGUACGUGAGUCCCAUGGAAACCGACACCUGACAGCAAUAGCAGUGGAUGUUUCUUCUUCUUUGAGACUAAAGUUGUUUUGAUAGUAACUUGGAUUAUGAGCGCCU
This 15782-nucleotide long non-coding RNA is filed under the name Triticum aestivum (bread wheat). RNAcentral's name for it is "long non-coding RNA (TAES_LNC024760)". The record is from RNAcentral. Lineage: Eukaryota; Viridiplantae; Streptophyta; Magnoliopsida; Poales; Poaceae.